Molecule: non-coding RNA, 2670 nt
Organism: Oryza sativa Japonica Group (Japanese rice)
Lineage: Eukaryota; Viridiplantae; Streptophyta; Magnoliopsida; Poales; Poaceae
Source: RefSeq, a predicted model, not a curated record
CCUUCCCCCCCCCCCCCCCCCCCCCACAUCCGUGCCUCACUACUGCCGCGCUUUCCCCCACUGCGGGUUCCCCUCGCGCGCGUUCGCGCUUCACCACCGCCGUGCCUUCCCCGCUGCCUCCUCAACUCCUCGCCGCCACCGGUUCCCUACUCCGUCUGCAACCGCCACCAUCGGAGCCGUGGAUCCAUCGCUGCCUUCAACUCCACUUGCGAUCCGGCGUGACGACAGGAGUGCAGCUGCGACUACUGGGCUUCCAUGGUUCUGCUCAAGAUUAAGCCAGUUGGGGAUUUUACUUUAAUAGGGGAACCCGGUCUAGCUCACCCACCCAACGAAUUUUAGACUAACGCCUAGAGGCCACGUUGUUAGCAAUGACAGUGGCCGUUGGGGGUUAAUUAGCACCGCCAGCUUGUGGGGAUCAAAGAGUACCAGUGGCAGCCUGCAACCAACAGGAUGUCGCCAGAGAAUGAACUGAAGCUGCAGCCAACCAUGUCCUAGAAAAUAGUAACUCUCUUAUCAAAUGUUGUUUUGGAUGGAUAAAUUGUGAUUUAUUGUUUGGUAGGGACUGCGGUGGAGUUACAAAUUAUGAGAAUGAGCUAUAAGAGAAGGGGUAAGAAUGGAAUAUAGUAAUAGGUGAUCAACACCAGGUGAAUUAGUGAACUUGUAUAUUUUUGCUAUCCAACCCAGUUCAAUUUCAUCUAGAGGGAUUAUUGCUUUCCAGUACAUGCUUCUGAUUUUUCUGUAACCAAAGUCAGCUCCUUGGUUUCCAGGGAAAAGAAAGUGAGCUCCUUGGUCAGAGAGGUAACAAACAAAAUGCUCAUAUCCUAGGCUAGGCUCUCCACCGCCUCCACUCAGUGGUAGCACUGACUCAAAGCAUGUUUUGUACGUGGGAAAUGAUACAACUGAGAGAUAGAUGAAGGAGAAGACGGCACCAGUACCUAAUUUGCUGAAAGAAGCAAAUCAUCCGUGAGUACCUAAUAGCCUGUGAAAUAUAAUCUUCUUUACACAACUUAACUUAUAUAAUAUUGGAUGAUUUUUUAAAUCUAGGAGGAGCUACCUCCCAAUUCUAGAUACAAAGACGUGAAAACUUUUGUGUAUUCUCAAGAAAAAAGUCUAAGAGGGACUAUAGUAAAGAAACUGGCGAAGUUAUAGAGAUUUGAUUAUUGUCGUACUGUAGACUUCCCCUGUCAUUUUAGACAUCUUGCACAUUGAAACAGUUAACAAUGUAUGAUGCCUUGCUCACUAGCUUUUUUCUGAAAUAUGCAAAUAAUAGUACAUUGUCAAUAUAAAAUUCAACCUGGUAUUAUUACUUGAUUCCCAGAGGAAAUUCCAAGCUAAAAAGAGCAGAGUAGGAUAUUCAUUCUAAAGGUGAACGCUAGCAAUGUGAAUCAUCUGAGAUUGAGAAGGUCAUUACUUAUAGAAAUAUUUUUAUAAAAGUUUGUAUGCAUGGAUUGUUCUAGAUGUUUUGUUUCGUAGAUCUGUACAAUUUUUACCAAUAGACAUUGUUAGUUACCUCAUGUGCUUCUUGUUGAUGCAAAUUUUGUUUUUCUCCUCCCACCGCUUGGCCCAGCCCACAUAUGUGACUGACUGUGUCACAGUCCCUGUAUAUCUUUGUCAUUGUUACUACUAAAGACAUGUGGAGACCGUUAUGGACUAAAAAUACUGCAUACUUUAGUUUCAGGAUGAGGCCAUUCUAAUAUUUCUGCUGCUACAAGCCCCUAUAGUCCUAUACUUCUAUGCACCAUCACUUGAUACUUUGGACAUCAUUAUAAGCAAUGGUAUUGCAUGUAGAGUAUUAUAUUGAUAUUACUGGAUAUCAUGCUUUCAUACACAUGACAAAUUCAGAUUUAUGCAGUGAUAAUAUUUUCCUUGAACAUUUUAAGUUUAGUUCUAUACACAUAAUUCAUGAUAACUGAAUAUGUAAAACGUUUUUCCUACAGUUCAAACAUGCAAUUGCUUGUGUACAAAGGAUUUGUCUUUCAGUUUUCAUUAAUAGGAACCCCUGAAUUGAAGAAACGGCUCUGGAGUGCUUAUGUUCUUCCCCUGUUGGAGCUGGUUCUUCCUUAGGCCUGUAGCAAUGAUCCACUUCAUUGCCACAUAUUCAAACACCAUGUACUCAUGAGAUGAUAUGGAACUGUGACUUCCCCUCUGGUCCUGAGGCCUGAUUGUUGCAGGUGAAGUAGGAGUUAUGGCUUCAAUCCAUUUCACCUGUUAAGACUGAAGAGCAUUGUAAUGGACUGAGUAUAGACAACAUGUCUCAAGAUUAUUGAAGUGGACGGAAUGUAGACCACAUGUCUAAAGAUAAUUGAAGCAGAGAACGAUUUGUUUAGACAGGAGAGCACUGUAAAUGUUGCUGCUCUCCAAAUUCCUUCUGUGCUCAAACCAGGCUGCUUUAGAGCUUCAACUAGCUCAUUCAUUCAAGACGUCGCCUCUCACAUCUACCUCAACUGAAAAAUGACAAAAAAUUGCUACAAUUUGUAAACAGAUUUGCGUACUUCAGUACCAUCAGCGUGACAGAUGUCACUGUGCCUGUAUUCUUCCUUUUGGCUCACAACUUCAUCACUAUAACUGCAACCUUUUCUUGCAGAACGAUCAUAUUAUCACAGCAACCUAAUGAUGUUGUUAGCAACCAUCCAAUUUAGCAACCUAAUGAUGCUGUUAGUAAUUAUCUAA